CUCCUUCAUUCUAAAGAGUUCAUAUUCAUGUGUUAGAAAAUCAACUCUUGCUUCUCGGACUUCAGGCGUACCUUCAUAAGUGACCUCAAGCUUAUCCCACAUCUUCUUGGCGGUUGUGCAGCAAGAAAUCUUCCGAUAGUCAUCGGAUUCACCGCACAAUACAACAUAUUGAUGGCCUUUGCGUUAUUUUCAACCUUCUUGAUGUC
This 206-nucleotide long non-coding RNA is filed under the name Nicotiana benthamiana. RNAcentral describes it as "long non-coding RNA (NBEN_LNC000194)". Lineage: Eukaryota; Viridiplantae; Streptophyta; Magnoliopsida; Solanales; Solanaceae. The record is from RNAcentral.